AUUGAACGCUGGCGGUAUGCUUAACACAUGCAAGUCGAACGGUAACAGGCCUUCGGGCGCUGACGAGUGGCGGACGGGUGAGUAACGCGUAGGAAUCUGCCUCAUAGUGGGGGACAACGUGUGGAAACGCACGCUAAUACCGCAUACGCCCUACGGGGGAAAGCGGGGGACCUUCGGGCCUCGUGCUAUGAGAUGAGCCUGCGUUAGAUUAGCUAGUUGGUAGGGUAAAGGCCUACCAAGGCGACGAUCUAUAGCUGGUCUGAGAGGACGAUCAGCCACACUGGGACUGAGACACGGCCCAGACUCCUACGGGAGGCAGCAGUGGGGAAUAUUGGACAAUGGGCGCAAGCCUGAUCCAGCAAUACCGCGUGUGUGAAGAAGGCCCUAGGGUUGUAAAGCACUUUCAAUAGGGAGGAAAACCUGUCGGUCAAUACCCGGCAGCUUGACAUUACCUAUACAAGAAGCACCGGCUAACUCCGUGCCAGCAGCCGCAGUAA
Molecule: ribosomal RNA, 497 nt
Filed under: uncultured bacterium
Lineage: Bacteria
Description: partial 16S ribosomal RNA
Rfam family: Bacterial small subunit ribosomal RNA
Source: RNAcentral